This 498-nucleotide ribosomal RNA is filed under the name uncultured bacterium. Its description in RNAcentral is "bacterial SSU rRNA". It matches the Rfam family "Bacterial small subunit ribosomal RNA", at positions 8 to 518 of the family's 1533-position model. The record is from RNAcentral.
AGAGUUUGAUCCUGGCUCAGGAUGAACGCUGGCGGCGUGCCUAACACAUGCAAGUCGAACGGGGUGUCUGAUCUUCGGACUGGACACUUAGUGGCGGACGGGUGAGUAACGCGUGGGUAACCUGCCUCAUACAGGGGGAUAGCAGUUGGAAACGACUGAUAAUACCGCAUAAGCGCACAGUACCGCAUGGUACAGUGUGAAAAAACUCCGGUGGUAUGAGAUGGACCCGCGUCUGAUUAGCUUGUUGGCGGGGUAACGGCCCACCAAGGCGACGAUCAGUAGCCGGCCUGAGAGGGUGAACGGCCACAUUGGGACUGAGACACGGCCCAAACUCCUACGGGAGGCAGCAGUGGGGAAUAUUGCACAAUGGGGGAAACCCUGAUGCAGCGAACCGCCGCGUGAAGGAUGAAGUAUUUCGGUAUGUAAACUUCUAUCAGCAGGGAAGAUGAUGACGGUACCUGACUAAGAAGCCCCGGCUAACUACGUGCCAGCAGCUGC